RNAcentral lists this long non-coding RNA (284 nucleotides) under Daucus carota (carrot). Its description in RNAcentral is "long non-coding RNA (DCAR_LNC007568)". Lineage: Eukaryota; Viridiplantae; Streptophyta; Magnoliopsida; Apiales; Apiaceae. The record is from RNAcentral.
AAUCAUAGAACAUGUAAUUCACAUAUUUAACAUGGUAUUCAAUUCAAAACGGACAACAAAAUUUCGAUACCCUAAUGAAUCAGAAAAAAAAUAAUUUAAACAGAUACUUUCGAGAAUUAUCAAACUGAAAUGAAAUAUUGAAUUUUAUUCCUCAUCUUCUGAAAAUCACAAAUAAAAUAAGAAAAUAAUUUUGGAAAAUCCGGGUCGUCACAAUCUACCCCCCUUAAAAAGAUUCCGUCCUCGGAAUCGGCGAGAAGCAAACUAAAGCGUACGAUCUCUAUAAU